Molecule: ribosomal RNA, 334 nt
Filed under: Cimex hemipterus
Lineage: Eukaryota; Metazoa; Arthropoda; Insecta; Hemiptera; Cimicidae
Description: partial large subunit ribosomal RNA
Rfam family: Archaeal large subunit ribosomal RNA (bases 1-137)
Source: RNAcentral
UGGCCGCAGUACUUUAACUGUGCAAAGGUAGCAUAAUAAUUUGUUUUUUAAUUGGAAACUUGUAUGAAUGGUCAUACGAGGGAUUGACUUUCUUUAUCUUAUAUUAAUUAAUUUUAUUUCUCUGUGAAAAAGCAGAGAUGUAUUUAUUAGACGAUAAGACCCUUUAAAACUUUAUUUAUUAUAAAAGCAUGAGUUUUUAGUUGUUUUUUUGUGCUAUUUUUAGUGAAUUUUGUUGGGGCGACAGGUAAAUUUAUUGAACUUUACUUUUUUAUAUCACAAAUUAGUGUUUGUUUGAUCCAGGUUUAUGUUCUGAUUAAAAGCUUAAGUUACUUAA